Molecule: ribosomal RNA, 497 nt
Filed under: uncultured bacterium
Lineage: Bacteria
Description: partial 16S ribosomal RNA
Rfam family: Bacterial small subunit ribosomal RNA
Source: RNAcentral
GACGAACGCUGGCGGCGUGCCUAGUACAUGCAAGUUGAGCGCUGAAGGUUGGUACUUGUACCAACUGGAUGAGCAGCGAACGGGUGAGUAACGCGUGGGGAAUCUGCCUUUGAGCGGGGGACAACAUUUGGAAACGAAUGCUAAUACCGCAUAAAAACUUUAAACACAAGUUUUAAGUUUGAAAGAUGCAAUUGCAUCACUCAAAGAUGAUCCCGCGUUGUAUUAGCUAGUUGGUGAGGUAAAGGCUCACCAAGGCGAUGAUACAUAGCCGACCUGAGAGGGUGAUCGGCCACAUUGGGACUGAGACACGGCCCAAACUCCUACGGGAGGCAGCAGUAGGGAAUCUUCGGCAAUGGACGAAAGUCUGACCGAGCAACGCCGCGUGAGUGAAGAAGGGUUUCGGAUCGUAAAACUCUGUUGGUAGAGAAGAACGUUGGUGAGAGUGGAAAGCUCAUCAAGUGACGGUAACUACCCAGAAAGGGACGGCUAACUACGUG